RNAcentral lists this transfer RNA (78 nucleotides) under Candidatus Woesearchaeota archaeon. RNAcentral's name for it is "tRNA-Val". It matches the Rfam family "tRNA". From Rfam's summary of the family: Transfer RNA (tRNA) molecules are approximately 80 nucleotides in length. Their secondary structure includes four short double-helical elements and three loops (D, anti-codon, and T loops). Lineage: Archaea; Nanobdellati; Candidatus Woesearchaeota. The record is from RNAcentral.
GGGCGGUUAGCUUAGCUCUGAUAGAGCAUCAGACUUACAAACUGGUGGUCAUAGGUUCGAGUCCUGUACCGUCCACCA